GAUGAACGCUGGCGGCGUGCCUAAUACAUGCAAGUCGAGCGAACAGACGAGGAGCUUGCUCCUCUGACGUUAGCGGCGGACGGGUGAGUAACACGUGGAUAACCUACCUAUAAGACUGGGAUAACUUCGGGAAACCGGAGCUAAUACCGGAUAAUAUAUUGAACCGCAUGGUGCAAUAGUGAAAGACGGUUUUGCUGUCACUUAUAGAUGGAUCCGCGCCGCAUUAGCUAGUUGGUAAGGUAACGGCUUACCAAGGCAACGAUGCGUAGCCGACCUGAGAGGGUGAUCGGCCACACUGGAACUGAGACACGGUCCAGACUCCUACGGGAGGCAGCAGUAGGGAAUCUUCCGCAAUGGGCGAAAGCCUGACGGAGCAACGCCGCGUGAGUGAUGAAGGUCUUCGGCUCGUAAAACUCUGUUAUUAGGGAAGAACAAAUGUGUAAGUAACUAUGCACGUCUUGACGGUACCUAAUCAGAAAGCCACGGCUAACUACGUG
Molecule: ribosomal RNA, 497 nt
Filed under: uncultured bacterium
Lineage: Bacteria
Description: partial 16S ribosomal RNA
Rfam family: Bacterial small subunit ribosomal RNA
Source: RNAcentral